RNAcentral lists this ribosomal RNA (467 nucleotides) under uncultured bacterium. RNAcentral describes it as "partial 16S ribosomal RNA". It matches the Rfam family "Bacterial small subunit ribosomal RNA", at positions 28 to 507 of the family's 1533-position model. The record is from RNAcentral.
GACGAACGCUGGCGGCGUGCUUAAUACAUGCAAGUCGAACGGAGAGGCGCCAGCUUGCUGGCGUACUCGAGUGGCGAACGGGUGAGUAAAACGCGGGUAAUCCGCACUGCACUCUGGGAUAAGACUGGGAAACAGGGUAUAUUACUGGAUAUGAUCUUUCUCCCUAUGGGGUUUGGUGGAAAGAUGCUCGGUGUAGGAUGCUCACGCGGCCUAUCAGCUUGUUGGAGGGGUGAUGGAAUACCAAGGCGACGACGGGUAGCCGGCCUGAGCGGGUGAUCGGGCACAAGAGGACUACGAGACGCACCAGACGCCUACGGGAGGCAGCGGUGGGAAGUCUGACGCAAUAGGCGGGAGCGAGAGACGGCGGCGCCGCGUGAGGAAUGACGGCCUUCGGGGGAAAAACCUCUUUCAGCGGAGACAAGGCGUAAGUGACGGUACCUGCAGAGAAAGCACCGGCUAACUAUGUG